CGCCCGCGGCGAACAUGGCAGAGGAGCGGCGCUGAGCUCCGCGCCGCCGCCCCCCGCACUUGUUGGCCGCCUCCGCCGGAGGAGGGCGGUUAUUCUUGCCCGCCCCGCGUCCGUUAAGGGAGGGCAGCCCCGGCGCCUCCGCGGAGGCGUGUGUGAUGGUGCGGGCAUGGCGGGGCAGCCGGUGGCCGCGGCGCUGCUGAGGCGGGGGGCGGCUGGUCCCGGCCCCGGCGGCGGCGGCAGCAGUAGCAGCAGCCAGCGAGGGCUGCCUCCUUCUCCCGCCCGCCCGGCGGCCGCCUCCCUCCGCCCCGGCCGCCGCUGAGGGAAGGAGGGAGCGCCUCGGUGUGCCGUGCCGUGCCGCCCGCCUCGCCUCGCCCCUCGCCGCCGCCGCCAUGCUGCCCGGGGUGGGGGUGUUCGGCACCGGCCUGACGGCGCGGGUGAUCGUGCCGCUGCUGAAGGCGGAGGGCUUCGCCGUGAAGGCGCUGUGGGGCCGCACGCCCGAGGAGGCGGAGGAGCUGGCCAAGGAGAUGAGCGUCCCCUUCUACACCAGCCGCAUCGACGAGGUGCUGCUGCACCAGGACGUCGACUUGGUCUGCGUCAACUUGCCGCCGCCGCUCACCCGGCAGGUCGCCGUCAAGACCCUGGGCAUUGGAAAAAAUGUUAUCUGUGACCGAACGGCGACUCCCCUAGAUGCCUUUAGGAUGAUGACUGCGGCUCAUUAUUACCCAAAGCUCAUGAGCAUCAUGGGGAACGUUUUGCGUUUCCUGCCCGCUUUCGUGAAGAUGAAGCAGCUGAUCCAGGAGGGUUACGUAGGGGAGCUGCUGGUGUGUGAGGUGCAGGUUCACAGCGGAAGCCUGCUAGGCAAGAAGUACAACUGGAGCUGUGAUGACCUGAUGGGAGGUGGGGGCUUGCACUCGGUUGGCACCUACAUCAUUGACCUCCUGACCUUCCUCACCAGCCAGAAGGCCGUCAAAGUGCACGGGUUGCUCAAGACCUUCGUGAAGCAGACAGACCACAUCAAGGGCAUACGGCAGAUCACCAGCGAUGACUUCUGUACGUUUCAGAUGGUCCUGGAAGGCGGUGUGUGCUGCACAGUGACACUCAACUUCAACGUCCCGGGGGAGUUUAAACAAGACAUUAUUGUGGUGGGUUCGGCAGGACGGCUGAUUGUAAUAGGCACUGAUCUCUAUGGACAGAGCAACAGCUCUCCUCAGCGGGAGCUCCUGCUAAAAGACUCCACGCCAGUCAGCAACUCCUUACUUCCAGAGAAGGCCUUCAGUGACAUCCCAUCCCCCUACCUCCGGGGCACCAUUAAGAUGGUUCAAGCUGUCCGGCAGGCAUUUGAGGACCAGGACGACAGGAGGACCUGGGACGGGAGGCCCCUCACGAUGGCUGCCACUUUUGAUGACUGUCUGUAUGCUCUGUGUGUGGUGGACACCAUUAAAAAGUCAAACCAGUUGGGGGAAUGGCAGAACAUUUCAAUCAUGACUGAGGAGCCAGAACUGAGCCCAGCAUACUUAAUCAGCGAAGCCAUGCGGAAGAGCAGAAUGUCUCUGUACUGCUAGCUCCUCUCGGCUCCUAGGAAAGAAUAGGAACCAGACAGCUCUUAAAGGAAAUGGUGGAAAACAGUAGAAAUCCAACCCGAAACUGUAUGAUGCUUAGACGGGUGGUGUCCUUUUAAAUCUUUGUGAACUCACACUUGAGAGAUGCACAUCGACAAUUAAUUUCAUAUAGCUCAACCCAGAAGCUUUCACCUCCACCAAGUGGUGAGUGUGAGUGUAAAACAAAAGGGAUGAGAAAAUUUCCCAUCCAUUUCCAGGGAAAAAAAAUUAGAUGAGACCCCCCCACACCUCUUCACCUCCUUCAAGUGGCCAGCUACUGAUACUGUAGUGAUCAUUCCCUGUCAUCUGUGCAGGGGUGGACAAACUCUUUUGAUAUGUGUGUUAUGAUCUUCUUUAGAUUGCAGUCUUGAAAUAAUAUAUUCUUUUGAGAAUAUAUUCUCGAAAGAAUAUAGUGAAAGGCGCAUGAAUUGUCCCAGUAAACAGGGAUACUGCUUUUCUGCAUAAAGCUGCUCCAGUGCUUAUGUGUUUACAGUGCUAGGUCCUCAGAUAGGAAAAAAGUAGAACAUGAGCAUAUAGCACUAAGUUGUAUUAAACUUGAGAAAAACCUUUUCAGGCUUUUUUGUUAAUUUUGACUAGGGGGAAGAAGAGAACAUUUGGAUGAGCGGUAAAUUAAAAGAGAAAAAUAUGACCCUCUUUCUCAAGGCUAUCACAUUAGUGUUGCCAUUUUAGGUUAGAAAGAGAACUGUCAGAAUAAUUUAGAUUUUUUAAAAAGCACUUAUGUUUUUUGCUAUUUUUAGGAGCGCCAAGGGCUUCUCUAGGGCUUCUUCUGCAAAUUAUUCCAUCUGACUGCUGUAUGCUCCUGCCUGUCCUAUGCCCGGUUUUAGAGCUUUUUGAACAGAAGGGCAUCAGUAGUGUGGUUCAUCUCAUCUGGCUUUAGCCAGCUGAAAGUCGGGUGUCUUGUCCUGAUCAGCUGUGCAAGGACACGGUAGUCAAUACAGAGAGAGCUUUCCAAAGGCUGACUCGGUGAAUCCUCAGAUUAAUAUAGGAGGUGCCCAUUGGAGAUUCCUGUCCUCCUCCUUUGCAGAGAAUCUUGGCUUCUAAAUUUUAGGUGGCUAAAGUUGGGAAACUUGACUCCCACCCCAAAAUUAUUAAUGUGUGCCUCAUUUUUGAAAAGCGUAUGUGUGACCUUUCAUGAAAUAUUCCCCAAAGUGUAAUAGUGUGACUGAUGAAGGAAUAAUGUAAUACUGCAAAACCACGCCCUAACAGAGAACUGUUUCUAUCCAUGUUGUUCUGCCAGUUCUAGCAACUGUCUCUGGGGCUGACCGCUUCUGCUAAGACCUCGAGCAAGCUUUCAUCAUUCCUUCUUGGAAGCAGCCCUUGACAAGUUUGGAGGUUUUUCCUAAAAAUGGAUUUCUCUGAGAAUUCCUGAGGUAGUAUCUGUGCCAACAGGAAUUUCCCAUUAUAAUUGUCACAGUAUGCCAUGCUAUCCAGUUCCUGCCCUGAAAAAUACACAGAGAAAUACAGAAGAGAGAAUUUGAUCAAGAAAUCCUCUCUCUCUCCUGAAAAAUGGAAUUAGCCCCAGGGGGAUCAGGAGAGUUUUCAUAUAGUAAGGCAAAACCCAUUUAUUGAAAAUAGUGGCUAGUUCAAGUCAUGAAUGCAAGCCUGGUGGAUAAUUAACUGUGUCUAGUUAAAUAUCAUCCAAAACCGGAACAAAACAUGGACCACAGUGUUUGUGACUCUUGCUUCGUAGUGGUUUGGUCAUUGCGCUGGAAUUGCUGUUCGUGUCUUUGCACCUUGUUUUGGUUCACGAAUGUUGACAGUUUUUCCUGUCUGUAUUUUUUUUUUUUCUGUGUCCUUCUGAGUGGAAGAAGAUAUGCUGCCCCUGCCCCUGCAGUGAACAGUCCCGAGGCGAGACACAGUGUGUAGGGAAAGUACUACUGCACUUCUGUCCCAGAUCCAAAGGUUUAGGUGACAGGCAUCAUCCAUCCUCUUUGCAGACUUACUGAUGCAGGUAGUGCUGCUUAGCAGAAGGAAAAUCUAAUGCUUUGGUUACGUAGCCAUCUGAUGCUAGUAUUAGUACCGGCUUGCAAAUGGGUUUGAAUCCUGUACAGCUCGUUGUGCGACCACAGUGCUGGCCCCGGAGAGGCAGGCAGAAUGAGCAGAGGCAGGGUGGGACCUCCUCUUCUGACGGCAACGGAGAUCUUACACUAGAUUUAGGUGAAGUUGUUACCUAACUGGGACGGCAGCAGUAACUGCAUACGUUCAGGAUUGUAUGACAGUUUUUCCAUUCUCUAGGAGGUGAAGGUGCUGUAGUGUCAAGUGUAAAGAUACUUAACUUCCAUCUGGCUUAGAGGAGGAAGGAAUUUGGUUUAUUUAUAGAAUUUGUAUUACUAUUUUGAUAAAUUGUCACUUUAAAGUCUGGGAUCUUUCUUGGCAGCAUCAAGCCCUCUGCUCUUUUGGUACAGUUGAAAGUACAUUGAAUUGCCCUAAGUAGCCUCUGGAGUUCAUGCUGGAUUUAAGAAUUUGGGCAGCAGAUAGCAGAGAUGUACUUGAUCGAACUCAAAAGUGGUACCACACCAGGAAACAUAUAUUUGGAACUGCACUUUUAAUGCUGUGCCACAAGGUUUGAGAUGAAUGCAGGCCUAAUAAAUAGCCAAACUGCGGCUACUGCUGGAAUUCACAGUAGCCCCCAAAUGAGCUUGUUCAUACACUAGGUAAGCAACGUUCAUUCCUCUUUCCCAGGGCUGCUGCUGGAGAGGCUCUUUCCUUUGCCAUCAACCUGUGCACACAGGUUACUGAACAUUAUGGUCUGUUGCCAAAGACAAAAAGAGCCAAAGGGGAGAGCCCAGGUGAAAUGCUCUGCUGCUCUGCAGGGGUCUGUUCCAAUGCUGGGACGCUCAGCUGAGAGACGAUGUCUUAUUUACCAUGGGAACUGCAUUGGGUUCCACACCAGGGGUAGGCAACCCUGCGCUGUGUGACAGCCGGGCACAACUGGAGUCCUUCCGUGUGCCCAAAGGGAGAGCGGUGACUGCAGCAGGGAGCGACAGGAAGGUAUAUCUGCAGUCUGGUACCUGUAUGCCUGCGCCAACAGGGAGAACGUGCUGGUUGCGUGGAGGGUGAGGGCUGCACCUCCGGAGGGUGGUAGUAGCAGCCUUGCUCCACCUCUGUGUUUGGGAGCCCAAGAUGGGACCCUGCCCUCGGGGAAGCAGCAUCCGUCCUAUACUCCUGCCAGAUCCCUGCACGUCCUCAGUGCUGAACUCAGUGAAGUCCUACGUGGAGGCAUAACAACUCUGCAAGAGCUUGGGGUUUCCUAUAUCUAAUAUCACGCAUGUGUUAAAUUAGUACUUUAGCUGUGUAGUUAGAAAUACCAAGUAGAGAUGAUACGUCCUUACGUGUGCUGCCAAUAUCGCAGAGAAUCAGGGCAGGCAUAGAUGAGUUCAGGCUCAGGAUGGGCUGCUGCGGAGUUCAUCCUUUGCUUUGGCUGAAAGCAUGAGAAAUUCCUGCCCAGCCAGCACAGGGCAAUCAGAGGCACUCUCCACUUUGUACUUAGUGUUUCCUUCUUUCAGAUAACUUUCAAAUCAGUGACUGUACAAGCAAACAGCUGUCCUGGAAGUUCAGCUAUUCAAAAAAGGAGGCUUUGCUGCAUGUGGUCACAGCGCAAGGACAAUUCAAUUUCUCUGUUAUGGUAUUUACUUCUGUGUCCAUAGAAAUGUGGAAAAGACCCAGACAAUUUAAAACGACUCAUUUCUCUACCAAAACAACAAAAAAGCAGAUUUUAUUUAAUGGGUAAAGAUAAACAUAGCAUCUUGAUGGUGUCUUUGCAGAGAUUCAGAAAUUACUGAAGAUGGAAUUUCUUGUUGCUGGGAAUUUUUAUAUUUGACUUUUAUCUAUAGCCUUCAAUAUAAAAUAUCACAAAUUAUGAAGUCUCUUCAGUGUUAAGAAGCUCUGUAUUUACAGGGGCUUAAAAGUACCCAGCAGACCCUUGGCUUAGUGCAGAUACUCAACACUGGUGUGAUGUUCCAGUGGCCCAGUGAUGUACCCUUAAGUAUGUAUGAAACUCAGCACUGGACUGUUUGACCUCUGCAGUGCUCUCUGGGUGUCUAGGACUAGUUGUGAAAUUGCAGGAUUAUUCAGGACAGCAGUUUCUUGUCAUCGUCGUUGUUGUUGUUGUUGUUGUUACUUGUGGGGAGCAAAGUUUGUAAAUUUUAGAGAUGGUGUAUGACUGAAUAAUAAUUGGCAGUCUUACCUGCUUUAAAAUUUCCUCUCUUUUGAGCUGCUGGAUGAAGUCUGUCCAAUAAAAAUAUUUUCCCCUUAACAAUAACUGCCCACUUCCAUUAGCUCAUGAAAAGACGAAAUUUUAAGUAAAUGGGACUAUACAUAAUGCUGCAUUCAUGAACCGAUGUCAUAACCUCAUGACUUACUGAGGCCAGAGACCAGGCAAGCAGUGACUUUUUGGAAGCUGCCAAAUUGAAGCCUUGGGGUUGGGGAAUGAAGGGUAUCAGCUUAGGUCAAACUGAAAUAGCUUUUAUUCAGCAUUUUCAGUUAAAUGAAUAAACAGAAUGGCUAUGGUCAAUCCAAAAGCGAACACAAAACAUGUUUGUAGAAGGUCAUUUACAUUUUUUCUUUUGGGAUUAAGUUCCAUUUUUAAAGAAUGAAAUGAAAUGAAAACUUUUUAAAAAUCCAUCUUUUAUUCUGUUUUGGCAUGUGUUAAAUUGACUGUUUGGGGUUGGGUAUGGGAUUUUUGGGGGUUUUUUGGUUUUAAGUUCAUAGUUUAAAAAAAUCCCAUCCAUUAGGUUCAGUGAACGUCCAUUAAGGACAUUCAGUGAAUUCAGCUGCCCUCGGGCAGGUUUGGCUCUGAACCUGCAGCCUCGCAGUGUCAUGCAGCGACCUCAUUUCUAGCAUCUGAAUUUGGCCAUCUGGGUUUCAUUUGUGUCUUCUUGUGGCAGUGGGAAAACUGGUUCAUUACAUGGAGUUGGCUACAGAUAAUCAAGAUUCUUUUUGCAGCAGUGCCAGCCAUUGUCGUUAAAAGCACUUAACUCUAUUAACUUGUUUACCGUGGUUAUUUAUGACCUUCCAGCCGUGUGCUGUCCAUUACUUCUUUGCUUUUUACACCAGCCGUCAGACUCGCCUCCCUCCCCUUUCUGUGUCUCAUUCCAUUGCAAGCCACGACGCGGGUGAGCCUGCGCUCAGUCUGUGUUACGCGUGGCAUACAGGGGGGCUAACCUACGACUUGAAGUAACUUUUAACACAGAUUGAUUAAAAAAAUUGCAUUAACGCCACAACUACCCAAGUACGUGGCAUACCGAAUGCCCAGCCAGGGCAGGAAUCGGAGCUCCCUGCUAUGCUGUGCUUCACAAGUGACACUCACUGUUUCUCGCUGUACUGGUUUUCUUUUAUUUGAUUUUGAAAAUGAGAAUAUGUUCAGUUUGUUGCUGUGUCAAUAUUAAGUAUAUAUUUAUUGUUUUUCAGACAUACAUACAUAUAUAUAAAUGCUAUAUAUAUAUAAUGUCAACGCAUGGACAUAUGUACAGUAGAUAUUUUAAAGAGCUAUUUAUCAAGAAAAGUAAGUGUUAUAAGUAAACAGAGUUUAUAUUUUAUAUAUUAUGUAGAUAGCAAACAAAAAGUGGUUAAAUUAUAGUAGGACUUUUGGGGGUGGGGUUGGAGAAAUGGGCAAGGACUGGUUCUAGCAUUUUAAAUAGCCAAACUACUUUGUACGGAAGCUGCCUGCUGUGCCUCUCGGCUGCAAUAUCUGUUUGUUUCUUCUUCUGGAAGAUGAUGUGCAUUGUUACUUUUACAUUGCUUGGGGAAUGUAGUUAGUUUAUUCUCAGCCAACUGGUAUGUGCUGCUUAAAACAUGGUUUCCUGCUGUUCUGCAUAUUUGCAUUGAUGGAAUAAAAGGAUCUGAACUGGCAAAUAAAGACUUAAAAGGAUGUGUUCUCAGCUGUCUGUUGG
Molecule: RNA transcript, 7510 nt
Organism: Grus americana (Whooping crane)
Lineage: Eukaryota; Metazoa; Chordata; Aves; Gruiformes; Gruidae
Gene: GFOD1
Gene name: glucose-fructose oxidoreductase domain containing 1
Exons: 3
Source: RefSeq, a predicted model, not a curated record